RNAcentral lists this ribosomal RNA (1423 nucleotides) under Ameloblastella chavarriai. RNAcentral's name for it is "eukaryotic LSU rRNA". It matches the Rfam family "Eukaryotic large subunit ribosomal RNA", at positions 101 to 1241 of the family's 3401-position model. The record is from RNAcentral. Lineage: Eukaryota; Metazoa; Platyhelminthes; Monogenea; Dactylogyridea; Ancylodiscoididae.
GAGAUAGCCAGCACCGAAGCCUAUCCGCGUUGUGGACAGGGCAAUGUGGUGUUUAGGCGUGUGCCUGGGGUGGCUCGUCUAUUCGAAGUCCACUCUGAUUCUGGCAUUGGAUUUGCCCCAGAGAGGGUGUAAGGCCCCUACGAAUAGACAUGCAGCAAUUAUGAGCCGCUCUCAGAAGCACACGUCUUGGAGUCGGAUUGCUUGAGAAUGCAGUCCAAAGUGGGUGGUAAACUCCAUCCAAGGCUAAAUACUGGCACGAGUCCGAUAGUAAACAAGUACCGCGAGGGAAAGUUGAAAAGUACUCUGAAGAGAGAGUAAAUAGUACGUGAAGCCGCCUGUCGAGAAGCUGGUGGAGUCAAGCUCCAUGUCUAGCUGAUUAAUUGCGAGUAGCCUGUUGUGUAUAAGGCCUGGUUGGUGAUUUACCUGCAAAUGGUGAGUCGGUUCGCCGAUUCCAGCUCUCUGGUCCAGUGAGCUUGUGUCAUCAACUCUGGUCUGCUGCUCGCAUCCUAUCACUGGACAGCCAUCACGGUUGAUAGUCUCUUGGUGCCUGGUGGCCAAACCCGCGACUCAGUGGGCUUAUGCUUGCUAGUUGUGGGAUGGCAGGUGGUUGAUGAGUCAGCAAUGUCUCAUCAGCUUAUGCUGUUCUUACAGCUGUCCACCAGGCCUACUCUUACUAUUCAGAGCUAUCAAUGCAUUUCUUGUUUGUGCUCCUCUUGGAGCGCUUUCAGUGAGAGCCGUGGUGUUGGAGUAGAUUUUCCACCCGACCCGUCUUGAAACACGGACCAAGGAGUUUAACAUGUGCGCAAGUCAAUGGGCUUUUCGAAACCCAAUGGCGUAAUGAAAGUGAAUGGUCAGUUUGCUGGCCUGAGGUGUGAUUCUUGGUUACCUUACACGGGUGCCAGGACGCAACACCGGCCCGUCUCAAGAUGUAGUCAUGACUGCGCUAGUGGUUGUGCAUCAUCGAGGCGGAGCUAGAGCGUACAUGUUGAGACCCGAAAGAUGGUGAACUAUGCUUGCGUAGGUCGAAGCCAGAGGAAACUCUGGUGGAGGACCGUCGCGGUUUUGACGUGCAAAUCGAUCGUCAAACGUGUGCAUAGGGGCGAAAGACUAAUCGAACCAUCUGGUAGCUGGUUCCCUCCGAAGUUUCCCUCAGGAUAGCUGGCAAUCACUUCGCUUGAUAGUUUUAUCCGAUAAAGCGAAUGAUUAGAGGUAUUGGGGACUAAUUGUCCUCAACCUAUUCUCAAACUAUAAAUGGGUACGAUGCUGGACUCGCUUAAUUGGAGUUCUAGCAUUGAAUGUGAUUGCCAAGUGGGCCAUUUUUGGUAAGCAGAACUGGCGCUGUGGGAUCUCCGAACGUGCAGUUAAGGUGCCACACACGGACGCUCAUGAGACUCCAAAAAAUAAGUUAAUGCAUGGGGCCUGC